AAACACGUGCUCCGAAGGUGUGGCGUGUAGCAUGUGAAAUCCCUUCAUAGAUAGCAUAUGUGUAUGUUCCACGUUUAGGAAUUAGGAUUGGCAAUCAUGGCGACCGAGGAACAAGUAUGUGGAUUUUGGAAUUUGUGCUGCAAGACAACAUCUUCCUUUUGUUUGUCCACAACAGCAGGAAUCUCUUUACGUUGCUGUUGCGGAGCUUAAGGACAUACCGCGCCUCGGCUCUAAAUAUCUUUGGCUUUGUAUAUGGUGGCCCAUUUGGGCAUUUCCUUCACAGUGCUUGGGCUUUAUCUGUAAAUACAAGGAACCAAAACUGUAGCUGAGAUGAUAUAACUUUUAUCAUCUGACAAUCAACGCCAUAUCGGUUACUUCUUUCCCUGCGGGCGCUUUAUAUAUAAUUUAAUUUAAUAGUUCUUACGGGAAACAUAUGUACAAUACCACAGUAGAUCUUGAUCUUAUAAAGAAUUGACUAGCACAUAAAUAAUGGACCAGCAAUGUACUAUGGUUAUGUAUGUUGUUCUAUUUCUAGCAAAAUUCCUUAAAUUAUGAUUGAAGUCAAACUAGCACUGGCCGAAAGUGUGUGUGAUAGCAUGUCCGAAUACAUGAAGAUCUCCAUGAAAAUACCGUUAUCUUAUUCUACUAUUGUUCAGGGUAAGCAUGUAAUUUGUCAAAAUAGUUUAUUUCAUGAUGCUUUACUGAUUGGCAUUAAGCGCCAGUGAUAAUUUUGAAAUUGCGUUACCGAUGUUUAAACAAAAGAAAUGUUCUUCUAGUUUUUUUUUCUUUUUCUCAGCCAUACUUUUGGUUCAAAAUGUUCUUCCAGUAACCAGUUGUUUUAUUUUUAUCAGCCGGACUUUUGGGUUAAAUUGUGCUUCGAGGUCAUGAAUCCGCAGCAAUGGAUUGUGCCAGUGGGUGCAAGGCAUCAUCUGGUGAGAAGAAUGCACACCAUGCUCUAGCAUGAUAAUAAGGUAAGGGUAAUACAUUACUUCGCCUGCUGCCAGUUCUACUGUGAUUUGCUCUUCUCAGUCUUCUGUGAGUUUUAUCCUUUCUCUUCAUGCAUGCGUGAUAUAUGUGAAACCUUGCUUUAUUGUGUUAAAAGGCAGUGAUAUGUUUGCGUAGAGUUGAACUCAACUUCUUUGCCCGAUGCCAUCUUAAUUACUACUAUGUAAUGCUGAUGUUGAAAGACCAAUCAUAUACUGUCGGUUCGUUUGGCUUAUUUUUGGGACAAGGUAAUUCCUGACUAUGCCAUCUUGUAAUGAUCAGUUCUUCUAGCAAAACCAAAACAGUAGGGCAACGCAAUAUGGCUUGUGACACGUGAAAUUUCAUUAUUAGAAAGUAAAAGUAAGAAGCAUUACGAAAGGGGUCUAGGACUGGUUUCUUCAAUCUUUAUUUAUCACAUCGGUACACUUCAGUCCAGUUCAAGCAGUCUUCCAACAGUGCACCAUCAGGCAAGCAUAAGUCUAUUACUCCAGAAGCUGGUGAUAUUUUCCUUCAAAAAAGACUCGCCUUGUAUCUUUGUUGAACUAGUACAUGCAGGCUACAAAGAUACUGUCAUGUG
This is a long non-coding RNA of Brachypodium distachyon (stiff brome), 1561 nucleotides long. RefSeq lists it as uncharacterized. Lineage: Eukaryota; Viridiplantae; Streptophyta; Magnoliopsida; Poales; Poaceae. The record is from RefSeq and is a predicted model, not a curated record. The transcript has 4 exons.